RNAcentral lists this ribosomal RNA (428 nucleotides) under uncultured bacterium. RNAcentral's name for it is "partial 16S ribosomal RNA". It matches the Rfam family "Bacterial small subunit ribosomal RNA", at positions 354 to 796 of the family's 1533-position model. The record is from RNAcentral.
GUGGGGAAUAUUGGGCAAUGGGCGAAAGCCUGACCCAGCAACGCCGCGUGAGGGAAGAAGGCCUUCGGGUUGUAAACCUCUGUCCUUGGUGACGAAAAAAAUGACGGUAGCCAAGGAGGAAGCCCCGGCUAACUACGUGCCAGCAGCCGCGGUAAUACGUAGGGGGCGAGCGUUGUCCGGAAUUACUGGGCGUAAAGGGUGCGUAGGUGGCCUUUUAAGUUGGAUGUGAAAUACCCGGGCUUAACUUGGGGGGUGCAUCUAAUACUGGAGGGCUAGAGUGCAGGGGAGGGAAGCGGAAUUCCUAGUGUAGCGGUGAAAUGCGUAGAUAUUAGGAGGAACACCAGUGGCGAAGGCGGCUUUCUGGACUGUAACUGACACUGAGGCACGAAAGCGUGGGGAGCAAACAGGAUUAGAAACCCGUGUAGUCC